This 406-nucleotide ribosomal RNA is filed under the name uncultured bacterium. RNAcentral's name for it is "bacterial SSU rRNA". It matches the Rfam family "Bacterial small subunit ribosomal RNA", at positions 43 to 495 of the family's 1533-position model. The record is from RNAcentral.
CAGGCCUAACACAUGCAAGUCGAACGAAGCCUUCGGGCUUAGUGGCGCACGGGUGAGUAACACGUGGGAAUAUACCUUUCGGUGGGGGAUAACAUCGGGAAACUGAUGCUAAUACCGCAUACGCCCCAAGGGGGAAAGAUUUAUCGCCGAGAGAUUAGCCCGCGUCCGAUUAGCUAGUUGGUGAGGUAACGGCUCACCAAGGCGACGAUCGGUAGCUGGUCUGAGAGGAUGAUCAGCCACACUGGGACUGAGACACGGCCCAGACUCCUACGGGAGGCAGCAGUGGGGAAUAUUGGACAAUGGGCGCAAGCCUGAUCCAGCCAUGCCGCGUGAGUGAUGAAGGCCUUAGGGUUGUAAAGCUCUUUCGUCGGGGACGAUGAUGACGGUACCCGAAGAAGAAGCCCCG